This 349-nucleotide non-coding RNA is filed under the name Stegodyphus mimosarum. Its description in RNAcentral is "Eukaryotic small subunit ribosomal RNA". It matches the Rfam family "Eukaryotic small subunit ribosomal RNA", at positions 128 to 427 of the family's 1831-position model. Lineage: Eukaryota; Metazoa; Arthropoda; Arachnida; Araneae; Eresidae. The record is from Rfam by way of RNAcentral.
AUCUCAUUUAAAAGUAUUUCUUGAGCUGCAGGUGCAAACACACUCUAGCAAAUACUUUCACAUUUUGUUUCACCACAAGAAAUCUUUUUUGCCAAAGAAGGAUCUGGAAAUAGAGUGCUAUGCAAUUUGUUUGUGCAGUCUUGGACCUCGUGUCCGUAUUAUGUGGUGACUCUGUGUAACUUUGGGCUGAUUGCACGGGCUCGUCCCGGCGACAUAUCUUUCAAGUGUCUGUCUUAUCAACUGCCGAUGGCAGGUUACGCGCCUACCAUGGUCGUAACGGGUGACGGGGAAUCAGGGUUCGAUUCCGGAGAGGGAGGCUGAGAAACGGCUACCACAUCCAAGGAAGGCA